Molecule: ribosomal RNA, 488 nt
Filed under: uncultured bacterium
Lineage: Bacteria
Description: partial 16S ribosomal RNA
Rfam family: Bacterial small subunit ribosomal RNA
Source: RNAcentral
AAUGAACGUUGGCGGCGUGGAUUAGGCAUGCAAGUCGAGCGUGAUCAGUUUGGUGCUUGCAUUAAACUGUGAAAGCGGCGAAAGGGAGAGUAACGCGUAGUUACCUGCCUCAGGGUUCAGAAUAGCCACGGGAAACUGUGGGUAAUGCUGAAUAACAUCUCCGGAUCAAAGGUGUGAUUCCGCCCUGAGAGGGGACUGCGUCCUACUAGUUUGUUGGGGGGGUAAUGGCCUACCAAGACUUUGAUGGGUAGCGGGUGUGAGAGCAUGGCCCGUCUCACUGGGACUGAGACACUGCCCAGACACCUACGGGUGGCUGCAGUCGAGAAUCUUCGGCAAUGCGCGCAAGCGUGACCGAGCGACGCAGCGUGCGGGAUGAAGGCCUUCGGGUUGUAAACCGCUGUCGUAGGGGAGGAAGGCUCCGUGAAGAAUGGGGUUUGACCUAUCCUAGGAGGAAGGACGGGCUAAGUUCGUGCCAGCAGCCGCCGUAA